UCUCUAUUCACAAGCCAAAAUGCUGAUCAAAAUGCAGGUGGCCAGAUUUGGCUCAGAAACUGCAUAUGAAAAUAGCAGUCCAGAAUAUUGCUGCCUACCUGGAUUCUGCACUUCUCCCUCUGCUGUAGCUCAGCACGCUGUGAUAUGCUGCAGAAGGCAGGGCAUCCAGGACAACAAAACUAAACCUGAGCUAAGGGAAAGAGCUUUUCAGUGUGUUUUCUCUCUAUGAAGCUGAGUGAAUAACCUCAGCUCUGAUUGGUGAAGACCAGCAGUAUCAAUGGGAAAACCAGCAAGGCUGUACAUAGCACGGGAUAAACUGAAUUGUAGCUUUAAUUUGUGUUUUGGAGCAUUUAACUCAGAUGUCUUGCACAUGAAUAGCUACUACUUCCAUAUGGGUAUCAAAGACCAUAUGCAGGCAUUUGUUCAUGCAGAUGGAGAGGCAAAUUAAGCUUCUAUCUUUGACAACUGCCCCCUUGGUAUAACAAAAUUCUUCCAGAUCAUAGACACACGCAGCUUAAAACUAAGAUGCCUGAGUCUUGGGUCUGUAAUAAACACAUUCUCUCCUCCUUGACGUUUUGAGCUCAAAAUUCACAAAUGCCAAUUAUCUUUUCACAGCAUAAGAAAGUGAAGCAAAAUAAUUGUCAUGGUCUGGAGAUGAUGAUGAGCAGCCACACAUUUCACCGUUACCAUUCUCACCUUCCUGCUCCUUCCUGCUCUGGUCGGAAGAAAGUAAAUCAUUGAUGUUUCCCUCCAGAAGGAAAUGUCUACUUCAUUUAUUCACUGCUUUGUGGUAAGGAGGAUUCAUCAACGUACGAAAUUGCAGUCGACAACAAGGAAAGGUUAUGAACCCAUUGGCCUAUGUAUUCCCUCUGUCGGCCCUGUUUGGAAAAGAAGCACAAUCAAAUUUCAGUGAUUGCAUCAGAAAUCUUAAUGAUUAACAAUACGUACAAAGCAAAGAAUGUUCAACAGGGGCAACAGUAUGAUUACAUGGAGUCACCAGAUGGUGCUAUUGUACAUUGUCUGCCUUGCUCUGUUCAUCUGGAUAUCAAGGAGUCCCCUCUAAUGAAAUGCAAAACAUCAGCUGUGAUGCGGUUCCUACCAAAAUCCCUCGUAAAGCUUGUCUCUUGACUGAACUUCCCUGAUAAAGAACUAUAUUCAUAGGCCAAAUAAUGACACUGCGCAGAAGAGGUCAUAGUAAGGCAGAGUUUGUAGAAAGAAAUUAUACUCUUUUUCUGCCACUUGAAGAAACAGCUCCUAAGAAGGAGGUUCACUGGGUUCAGUUCUACCUCCACUACAGCCCUGAUCAGUGCAGUUUUCUCUCUUCCACAUCACUUCAAAGCUACAACACACUUGGAUCAACUUCCAUAUUAUCUGGCUGCAUAGAAGCACAACCUUAGUCUCCCCACCACCAUCUGAAGUUGCUUGAAAGCUACUGAUAAUUGCCCCUCUAUUUAAUUCUGUUUAUUACAUAGAAAACAUUAUCAAUAUUUUCUUUUCCUGUGCCAUGGCAGAAUAGGCCUCCUAAUUUAUGAGCUGACGCAUUCUGAAUAGAGUAUAAAGCGUUGUCUGCAGCUAUUCUUUGCAACUUAUUUAAAGUGUUGAAGAAGCGUUCUGUCUACAUUGGCAUGCUGUUUCAUUAUUUUUUUCCUCCCUAACUUGAUCUAUGAUUAAACCCAGAUCUUCACACCUUUCCAUGCUUAAAAGCUGUUUUUGAGGAAGUUUUUCAACAAUUAUUGUUGUGUUUGUUUUUUUUUUUACUUUCAGGCUGAUGGCACCCUGGCAACGUUAUAACUAAGCGCUUUGAAAAAGUGUUAUGUAGAUAUAUAAUGAUGUUUCCCAAAGAGGAUAAAAUCUGAUUGUUCACUUCAGAAAGCCGCUUUUAUCACUUUUUAGUGAGUUGAUUCACUUAUUUAGUAAAUUCCAUUAGAUCUCAAGAUAAGCAGAUACCCUGAAGUUUGUUUUUAUUCUGAGUUUACAGUCCCCUUUUGCAUCUGCGUUGACUGUUUUGACUUGGAUGUAAUCAUAGGUAAAUUUUAUUUCUUAUUAUUGGAGCCUGAUUGUAUAUGAUUAUCUGUUAAAGCACUCAGCAUGUUUAAUAACAUUUGAUUGUUAUUAUUUUGUGUUCCAAGCUUUCAGCAUUCAAUAAACUGAAAGGGUUAAAUACCUUAGUUGCUCCC
This is a long non-coding RNA of Coturnix japonica (Japanese quail), 2177 nucleotides long. The record is from Ensembl. Lineage: Eukaryota; Metazoa; Chordata; Aves; Galliformes; Phasianidae.